This 301-nucleotide ribosomal RNA is filed under the name uncultured bacterium. RNAcentral's name for it is "partial 16S ribosomal RNA". It matches the Rfam family "Bacterial small subunit ribosomal RNA", at positions 509 to 807 of the family's 1533-position model. The record is from RNAcentral.
CAGCCGCCACGGGAAUACGUAGGGUGCGAGCGUUAAUCGGAAUUACUGGGCGUAAAGCGUGCGCAGGCGGUUAUAUAAGACAGAUGUGAAAUCCCCGGGCUCAACCUGGGACCUGCAUUUGUGACUGUAUAGCUAGAGUACGGUAGAGUGGGAUGGAAUUCCGCGCGUAGCAGUGAAAUGCGUAGAUAUGCGGAGGAACACCGAUGGCGAAGGCAGUCCCCUGGACCUGUACUGACGCUCAUGCACGAAAGCGUGGGGAGCAAACAGGAUUAGAUACCCCCGUAGUCCCUGUCUCUUAUAC